GGGCGUUAAGUUGCAGGGUAUAGACCCGAAACCCGGUGAUCUAGCCAUGGGCAGGUUGAAGGUUGGGUAACACUAACUGGAGGACCGAACCGACUAAUGUUGAAAAAUUAGCGGAUGACCUGUGGCUGGGGGUGAAAGGCCAAUCAAACCGGGAGAUAGCUGGUUCUCCCCGAAAGCUAUUUAGGUAGCGCCUCGUGAAUUCAUCUCCGGGGGUAGAGCACUGUUUCGGCUAGGGGGCCAUCCCGGCUUACCAACCCGAUGCAAACUGCGAAUACCGGAGAAUGUUAUCACGGGAGACACACGGCGGGUGCUAACGUCCGUCGUGAAGAGGGAAACAACCCAGACCGCCAGCUAAGGUCCCAAAGUCAUGGUUAAGUGGGAAACGAUGUGGGAAGGCCCAGACAGCCAGGAUGUUGGCUUAGAAGCAGCCAUCAUUUAAAGAAAGCGUAAUAGCUCACUGGUCGAGUCGGCCUGCGCGGAAGAUGUAACGGGGCUAAACCAUGCACCGAAGCUGCGGCAGCGACGCUUAUGCGUUGUUGGGUAGGGGAGCGUUCUGUAAGCCUGUGAAGGUGGCCUGUGAGGGUUGCUGGAGGUAUCAGAAGUGCGAAUGCUGACAUAAGUAACGAUAAAGCGGGUGAAAAGCCCGCUCGCCGGAAGACCAAGGGUUCCUGUCCAACGUUAAUCGGGGCAGGGUGAGUCGACCCCUAAGGCGAGGCCGAAAGGCGUAGUCGAUGGGAAACAGGUUAAUAUUCCUGUACUUGGUGUUACUGCGAAGGGGGGACGGAGAAGGCUAUGUUGGCCGGGCGACGGUUGUCCCGGUUUAAGCGUGUAGGUGUGUGUUCCAGGUAAAUCCGGUUCACUUUAACACUGAGGCGUGAUGACGAGGCACUACGGUGCUGAAGCAACAAAUGCCCUGCUUCCAGGAAAAGCCUCUAAGCAUCAGGUAACAUCAAAUCGUACCCCAAACCGACACAGGUGGUCAGGUAGAGAAUACCAAGGCGCUUGA
Molecule: ribosomal RNA, 1006 nt
Filed under: Salmonella enterica subsp. enterica serovar Paratyphi B var. L(+) tartrate +
Lineage: Bacteria; Pseudomonadati; Pseudomonadota; Gammaproteobacteria; Enterobacterales; Enterobacteriaceae
Description: partial 23S ribosomal RNA
Rfam family: Bacterial large subunit ribosomal RNA
Source: RNAcentral